UACGAAGGGGGCUAGCGUUGCUCGGAAUCACUGGGCGUAAAGCGCACGUAGGCGGCUUCUUAAGUCAGGGGUGAAAUCCUGGAGCUCAACUCCAGAACUGCCUUUGAUACUGAGAAGCUUGAGUCCGGGAGAGGUGAGUGGAACUGCGAGUGGAGCGGUGAAAUGCGUUGAUAUUCACAGGAACUCCGGUGGCGAAGGCGGCUCGCUGGAUCUUUUCUGACGCUGAGGCGCGAAAGCUAGGGGAGCAAACGGG
Molecule: ribosomal RNA, 253 nt
Filed under: uncultured bacterium
Lineage: Bacteria
Description: partial 16S ribosomal RNA
Rfam family: Bacterial small subunit ribosomal RNA
Source: RNAcentral